UUUAUUAAUAACCAUAAUGAGUGAGGAGCAUGAAGGUAGAGACCCUUAUUGAAAGCAAGGAAUCUUCCUUGUAAUCCCCUUGGGACACUCUACUUCCAGGUCGACACUCAAAGGGGGUGGCAAAGACCGUAACAAAGCAGCGAGUGGAGUCACAUUUUGACCUUGAGCUGCGGGCAGCUGUGAUGCAUGAUAUUCUGGACAUGAUGCCUGAAGGGAUCAAGCAGAACAAGGCCCGGACAAUCCUGCAGCACCUCAGUGAAGCCUGGCGCUGCUGGAAAGCCAACAUUCCCUGGAAGGUCCCCGGGCUGCCGACGCCCAUAGAGAAUAUGAUCCUUCGAUACGUGAAGGCCAAGGCUGACUGGUGGACCAACACUGCCCACUACAACCGAGAACGGAUCCGCCGAGGGGCCACUGUGGACAAGACUGUUUGUAAAAAGAAUCUGGGCCGCCUCACCCGGCUCUAUCUGAAGGCAGAACAGGAGCGGCAGCACAACUACCUGAAGGACGGGCCUUACAUCACAGCGGAGGAAGCAGUGGCAGUAUAUACCACCACAGUGCAUUGGUUG
Molecule: small RNA, 566 nt
Filed under: Pan troglodytes (chimpanzee)
Lineage: Eukaryota; Metazoa; Chordata; Mammalia; Primates; Hominidae
Description: retained intron
Source: RNAcentral